GAAGAAAUUCGAGUGAAUGGAAAGGACAAAAUAAAGGAUAAAUUCCACUCUCACCUUACAGAGAGAGGCUAUAAAAAUAUUAAUACUAGUAAUUGUGAAAUUUAUGAUAAAAAAGAUUCUUAUCUGAAUAAUAAUAAUAAUAACACGGGUAAUCCAGAAAAUUUUAAAUUGCAAUUGCUUGAUAACGAAAAUGAAAAUCAAGACCUCUUCGGGUUUAAAAAACCUCUUGUGAGUAUUCUUUUCGAUUAUAAUCGGUGGAAUCGACCAUUUCGCUACAUAAAGAAUAAUCGAUUUGACCAAGCCGUAAAAACUGAAAUGUCACAAUAUUUUUUUGACACAUGUAAAAGUGAUGGAAAACAAAGAAUAUCUUUUACAUACCCGCCAAGUUUAUCAACUUUUUUGAAAAUGAUAAAAAGAAAGAUACCCCUAUUGUCACUCCAAAAAACGCUCCCUCAUGAACUGGACAAUCAGUGGGUUUCUACCAACAAAGAAAAAAGUAAUAAUUUGACUAAGGAAUUUUUAAAUCGACUUGAAGUUCUAGACUUGGAAUCUCUUUCUCUGGAUAUACUUGAAACAAGGACUAGAUUGUGUAAUGAUGAUACUAAAAAAGAAUACAUGCCUAAAAUGUACGAUCCUUUGUUAAAUGGACCAUAUCGAGAAACAAUCAAAAAACAAAAAACGCUCCCUCAUGAACUGGACAAUCAGUGGGUUUCUACCAACAAAGAAAAAAGUAAUAAUCUGAAUAAGGAAUUUUUAAAUCGACUUGAAGUUCUAGACAAGGAAUCUCUUUCUCUGGAUAUACUUGAAACAAGGACUAGAUUGUGUAAUGAUGAUACUAAAAAAGAAUACAUGCCUAAAAUGUACGAUCCUUUGUUAAAUGGACCAUAUCGAGGAACAAUCAAAAAAGGGGUUUCACCUUCAAUCAUAAACAAUAAUUCGCUAGAAAAUUUGAAAGAGAGAGUUAGACUAAAUAGGAUUCAUACUAUCUUUCUUCCGAAUACUGAUUACCAAGAAUUUGAACAAAAAGUGGAUACGAUUGAUAAAAAACCAUUAUCAACAGAAAUUGACGAGUUCUUAACUUUAAUCAAUGAAUUUGGUAAGGAACCAAAAUCGAGUUUAAAUUUGAAAGACCUUUCUUUAUUUUCAGACCAAGAACAGGUAAGAACGAAUUCAGAAAAAGGAACUAAAUUUUUAAAAUUUGUAUUCAACGCAAUUGAUCCUAAUGAGACAAAAUCUGGAAACAAAUCGAUUGGAAUAAACGAAAUCAGUAAAAAAAAACCUCGCUGGUCAUGUAAAUUAAUCACCGAAUUGGACCAACAAUUGGGUAAAUUUGAAGAUGGCCUAUCAGUAGAUUAUCAAAUUCGUUUAAGAAAAUUCAAACGUGUAGUUAUUUUUACUGCCAACAACGAGAAGAAGGAUCCUGAUGAGACCAACGAGGAAGUGCCUUUAAUAAUCUAUUCGCAACAAUCCGAUUUUCGGCGAGGUAUAAUUACAGGCUCUAUGCGGGCUCAAAGGCGAAAAACAGUUAUUUGGAAACUAUUUCAAGCAAAUGCGCAUUCCCCCCUUUUUAUCGACAGAAUAACCCCCCCCCGUCUUUUUUCUUUUGAUAUCUCUUGACUGAUUAAAACCAUUUUUCGAAAUUGGACAGGUAAAGAGGGAGAAUUCAAGAUUCUAGAGUCUAAAGAAGAACAAACAAAAAGAGAAGAGAAAAAAGAAAAGGACAAAAAAAAGGAGAACACCAGAAAGGAAAAAGCACGGCUAGCGGU
Molecule: long non-coding RNA, 1766 nt
Filed under: Capsicum annuum
Lineage: Eukaryota; Viridiplantae; Streptophyta; Magnoliopsida; Solanales; Solanaceae
Description: long non-coding RNA (CANN_LNC004607)
Source: RNAcentral